This 253-nucleotide ribosomal RNA is filed under the name uncultured bacterium. Its description in RNAcentral is "partial 16S ribosomal RNA". It matches the Rfam family "Bacterial small subunit ribosomal RNA", at positions 524 to 776 of the family's 1533-position model. The record is from RNAcentral.
GACAGAGGGUGCGAACGUUGUUCGGAAUUACUGGGCGUAAAGCGCGUGUAGGCGGCUUGGCAAGUCGGAUGUGAAAGCCCGGGGCUCAACCCCGGAAGUGCACUCGAAACUGCCGAGCUGGAGUCCCGGAGAGGAAGGCGGAAUUCUCGGUGUAGAGGUGAAAUUCGUAGAUAUCGAGAGGAACACCUGUGGCGAAGGCGGCCUUCUGGACGGUGACUGACGCUGAGACGCGAAAGCGUGGGGAGCAAACAGG